GACCCCGUAGCUCAGCUGGAUAGAGCGUUGGUUUCCUAAACCGAAGGUCGCGUGUUCGAAUCUCGCCGGGGUCG
Molecule: transfer RNA, 74 nt
Filed under: Planctomycetota bacterium
Lineage: Bacteria; Pseudomonadati; Planctomycetota
Description: Planctomycetes bacterium (soil metagenome) tRNA-Arg
Rfam family: tRNA
About the family: Transfer RNA (tRNA) molecules are approximately 80 nucleotides in length. Their secondary structure includes four short double-helical elements and three loops (D, anti-codon, and T loops).
Source: RNAcentral